GUGGGGAAUUUUGGACAAUGGGCGCAAGCCUGAUCCAGCAAUGCCGCGUGCAGGAAGAAGGCCUUCGGGUUGUAAACUGCUUUUGUACGGAACGAAACGGUCCUGGUUAAUACCUGGGGCUAAUGACGGUACCGUAAGAAUAAGCACCGGCUAACUACGUGCCAGCAGCCGCGGUAAUACGUAGGGUGCGAGCGUUAAUCGGAAUUACUGGGCGUAAAGCGUGCGCAGGCGGUGCUGUAAGACAGGCGUGAAAUGCCCGGGCUCAACCUGUGAAUUGCGCUUGUGACUGCAGUGCUGGAGUACGGCAGAGGGGGAUGGAAUUCCGCGUGUAGCAGUGAAAUGCGUAGAUAUGCGGAGGAACACCGAUGGCGAAGGCAGUCCCCUGGGCCUGUACUGACGCUCAUGCACGAAAGCGUGGGGAGCAAACAGGAUUAGAAACCCCAGUAGUCC
Molecule: ribosomal RNA, 450 nt
Filed under: uncultured bacterium
Lineage: Bacteria
Description: partial 16S ribosomal RNA
Rfam family: Bacterial small subunit ribosomal RNA
Source: RNAcentral